UACGAAGGGGGCCAGCGUUGUUCGGAAUCACUGGGCGUAAAGCGCACGUAGGCGGCUUCUUAAGUCAGGGGUGAAAUCCUGGAGCUCAACUCCAGAACUGCCUUUGAUACUGAGAAGCUUGAGUCCGGGAGAGGUGAGUGGAACUGCGAGUGUAGAGGUGAAAUGCGUAGAUAUUGGGAGGAACACCAGUGGCGAAGGCGGCUCACUGGACCGGAACUGACGCUGAGGCGCGAAAGCGUGGGGAGCAAACAGG
This 253-nucleotide ribosomal RNA is filed under the name uncultured bacterium. RNAcentral's name for it is "partial 16S ribosomal RNA". It matches the Rfam family "Bacterial small subunit ribosomal RNA", at positions 524 to 776 of the family's 1533-position model. The record is from RNAcentral.